UAUGUAGCUAUAGCUGUCAUGAAACUUGAUCUAUAGCUCAGGCUGGCUUCGAACUCACAGAGAUCUACCUGCCUCUGCCUCCCAAGUGCUGGAAGUAAACAUGCCAGCUGGUUCUGCAGAAGUCAAGUCCUUACGUAAUGUAUUACCUACUUUCACUGCUUUUUAAAUUUAUGUGAGUAUUAUGCUGAUUAGUUUUUGGUAACUUCACACAGAGUAGAGUCACCUGGGCAGAGGGACCUUCUGUUGAGGAAUUUCUUCUUCAGCUGGACUAUGGAAAGCUGUGCACAGGAAGCAUUUGCUGGACGGGAGACCUGGCAUGGCUGAGUCCAGACUCUAGUCCUCGUGCUAAUGAGUCACCUGAUGUCUGUGGAUCAGGGCCACACCCAUAAAAUGUUACCAUGGCAUUUUCAAGGCAAUGCCAGCCAAUGGGUCCAAUCUCACAGUCUGCACAGACUAGAAACUUGACGUUGCCCACGUCCUUGGUAAAGCCCACGUUCUCAAAGAUGAACAUGUCAUUAACCAGCCAGUGUUUCUCGAGGAGAUCACCAU
This is a non-coding RNA of Rattus norvegicus (Norway rat), 549 nucleotides long. The record is from RefSeq and is a predicted model, not a curated record. Lineage: Eukaryota; Metazoa; Chordata; Mammalia; Rodentia; Muridae.